AGCAAAGGACCAAGUACUUGCAGAUUAAGCUACAUCGUGCAAGAGAGUGUAUUCAGAAAGGACUCAUUCAGGUGUCCUACAUGGCAGGAAAUGAAAUUCCUGCUGAUCUGUUGUCUAAGGUUGUUAACAGAGAACAACUUAAGGUUUACGUACAAAGGUUGCAAUUGGGUUGAACCACAGGUACUACAGGUUACACGGAAAGGGGGAGGAUGUUAGGAUAUUUCCGUUCCACCUUAAAAGGGAGCAGGCUUUGUGAGUCAGAGUCUGCGUAUUUCCUGUUCACAGGAUGUUUAUGUUUUCUGUUGCUUUCGUUUCCUCCUGUGUCGCAGACACUAAAGCAGUCGGUCAUGUUUUUCUGUGUUCUGAUCAACGCUGAAUAAACUUGUAAAUAAUGCUCUCCUGGGUGCAACUUUUGCUGUGACUAUCUGCUGAUAGAGUGUGCAUGAGCUCUAGAAUGUGGCAAGAUAUUUUCUAGAAACUCAUGUCGCUGCGUGCCUACGGGAGACUGAGAUGGAUCGUCCGGCAGACGGCUUGGGGGCCUUGAUGGACUUUAUCUCCCUGGCAGUAUCCCAACAGCCCCCCCCUUUUUUUAAGGAAACAAUUUUCCUUUAAAAAGGGCCAUGGCCGAGUGUGGAUUUGAAUCCAGGUCUCUCAGUAUUAACUGAAUACCCUACACCAGUGGUGGCCAAACUUGGCCCUCCAGCUGUUUUGGGACUACAAUUCCCACCAUCCCUGACCACUGGUCCUGUUAGCUAGGGAUGAUGGGAGUUGUAGUCCAAAAACAGCUGGAGGACCAAGUUUAGCCACCACUGCUAUACACAUUACACAGGCUGUGCUACUCUUCCCCCAGUGGUUACUUACAGCUAUGCAUGUCACAGAAAGCAGCCUGAACAUAUGAUCACAUGAAUAUUAAAUGACAAGAUCUGGACAAGGGAUCUCAGCCAGAUGGAGAAACUCCAUAACAUCAUUGCUUUCUACAACGUCUGUGGCUAUAUUUAAUAUUUGUUUUAUUUAUUUUGACAGCUCAGUCAGGCAUCCGUCAAUAAUUCUUCAGGGACAGGAAAGGAAAGAGAUCUUAAUUUUCCUUUUAAAACAAGGAUUUAAGGGAUGGGUAUGUGGUCAAAACUGAGCAGUCAAAUCCAUACUUUGACAAAUAGCCUCAGUCUUUAACUGAGGAGCACAGAUAAAAUCCACAGAUAACAUGAGACAUGUUUUCUUUCUAUGUGGGAAAAGAGAGAGUUAUGUAUUCCACUAGGCAACUCAAUAGUUGUGCAGUGGGACUUCCCGGUCUUUCCAUUGUGACCCUCCACUAAUCUGUUCUGGUGUGUUGGGAAAACCACCCAAACAGCAGGUGGGGAGAAGAGAGGGGAGAUUUUUCCAGCAGGCAGGGAGGAAUGUUUGCACUGAAGAACCAAUUUCCUUAGUGCUGCUUUGAAUGCAACCCCUUGGUUUUUAAAAUUCACAAUAGGGAGCAGAUUGUGGCUGAAACUUUUACCCCUAUCACCUGGAAGUCAAUCUCACUGAAUUCAAUGGAAUUUCCUUAGUACACAUGGUUAGGAUUGAAGUCUUAGCACAUCUAGGCUGCUUCUGGCAUCAAACAACACUUGAAACAAGAAAAGCAAAGAGUUACCGGUCAGGAAAGCUGCAAUUAAAUGUCAAUGAAUGUGUAAAUAAUGUGUAUUGCAAAGCAAUUUAUGUAUCUAUUUUUACACACAAUGUGUGCAAGUUUUGCUUUGGGGUUUUUUAAAAGAAAAACAACCUUUCAAUACAGAGAACUAUGAUGAAAAGUAUUCACAGCAAGAUCUGAACAGCAACAAUGGGCUCAAAUGGUAGAAGGCAAUCCACUCACAGUCUGUUUUCAAUGAAUUUCUCUGACACUCGUAUGAACAAAUAUGCCUCAAAAGCACAGCAAGGGCCACAAAACCUGCACCCACCCAUGAUAAUUCCCCAAAAUGUUCUCUUUCCUUGCUAAUUGAAAUGCAGUUUGUUUUCUUGUUAAUUAAAGAAUAAUAAAGAAUAAAAAUGGGGAGAAUUUUUCUGGCACAGCACCAUGCCACACAUAUUUCUUACAGAUAACUUAGCAAGCUCCAAUAGCUAGGCAAACUCUGAGAGUCUUGUGUCAAUAUGAAUGUCUGAAUUACAAAAUACCCAGUGCAGGCGGAGCGCACCGCCCCCGGCAGCACGGUCCCGGAGGGGCGCCAUCGCGGCUGCCCCCCCGCCCGCACUGGGUGCCACGCCCCCGCAGGUGGCAUGCCAUGCCCCCCGGACGUGCAUCAGCCACGCCCCCAUCUGCUCUCCGCCUCCCAGUGCCAGAGCAUGAAGCAUGAAGGAGCAUGAAGGAGAUUAACCUUGAGAAGAGCAUUCCACAGAUGCAAACACUUAAAAUACCUUUUCCAUCCAGCUGUUCCAUUAGAAGCCAAAUGAGUUUUCUGAGAAUUUUCAGAAAGGUAGUCAUAUUGGUCUAUUAUAGCACCUUAGUCUUUGUUAAGACUAAACAAAAACAAAAAAUGGCAUAAACUCCACAAGUUGUCACAAGACUGUAGUACCUGUGAAGUUAACAAAAGCAAGACUCAUGUGCAACACAUUUAAUAGUCUGAUGAGGAUGUGAAAAUUGUAUAUAUUUGAAUUCAUGUUUCUAAUGUAAAAAUUUGCCUCAAAAUUUACUGCCAUUUCUUUGUUUGUUUCAGGGGAGGCAUCAAAAAUGCAAUAGAAUUAUCACAUGCUGUAUACAUGUAAACCAAUUUGAAUUUGAAUUAAUUUAAAUUAAGUGAAUUGGCUGUCAGAGGACCAUAUUAGUAUCAUCUGGAACAAGUUAAGUCAUGUCUAAACGUAACUAGGACUGCAAUGAAAACUAUUUUGACUCAUGUCUGAAAAGCAUUUCACAGAUAUUUUAUGAGUUUCUAACAGAGAGAUUCAUCUCAGAUGCAGGCCAGGAAAAACAAGGAAGAGUUCACAACAACAGGGGAAAGAUAGGAAAAGAAGUAAUUGUGAGUAAAUUAUGGAGUCUGCAUCUUGUUUAUAUGAUAGUGAAAGGAAAGUGAUGGCUUCAACAAUAGCAAAGGCUAUGAAGUAUGACCAAAAAUACUGUUAUUCCAUCACAAUGACUUGGGUCAAAUUUACCUUUUUGUGAGAAAAGUGCUUAUAUCAACACUUACAGCUCAAUUUUACAAAACUAUGUCUUAGCUUUUAGGGUGAACUGUACAUAGAUUUUGGAAGAAAUUUAGCCACCUUCAGGUAUUCAGGUUAAGUAAAUACCCGAGGGGGGGCAUGGGCAAGCUGUGCCCUGCCCCCAUCAUGGUCCCAUUCUCUCUCAUAUGUUCAUCAAAGGAUGUGGCUGAAGAGAAUUUAAAAAAAAAUGUAAAAGGGCUGUAAUAUUCAUCAUCUCCCUCUUCGAGCCUAUGAUGGUGAUGCUAUGAUGUUCGCCUGUCUGUUGUGUUUUGUUAAGUUGCUUUUAACUUGUCACAUAGCAUCUAGAAACUUCAGGUCUGUGUGCUUAUGAUUAGUGACAGACCAGAUUUUAUACCUGUCUACUGGUAGUUGUCAUAUUAUUCUGAAAAUUCAGUUGUAUCAGUGCAGACCCCUGCAACCCUUCUUUAGAAAUACAUCUGAAUCCAUAUCUUUCCAUCAUUCAGUAUCUCAGCUUUUCUUUCAAAUCCACCUCUGUAUCUAUACACACACAUAUAAACACACACACACACACACACACACACUUGGAGUCUCUCUUUUUUCCAGAAUCAUGGAAAUCAGAAACCAUUCACAGAUGAUUACCGUAUUUUUUGUCCCAUAGGACACACCGGCCUAUAGGACGCACCUAGUUUUUUUGGGGGGAAAUAAAGGAAAAAAUUUUUUCCUUUAUUUCCCCCCCAAAACCAGGUCGGGGAAUCCAAAUCAGGUCGGGGAACAGCAGGAUUGCGGCGCUGCGCCUCCCUGCUGUCCCCUGAGCUUCUGGGGCUGCCCGAUGUCUGCCUGAAGUGCGGGGCGCUCUGCUUUCAGCGCGCCCUGCGCUCCGGGAAGCAGGCUACUAUCUGCAGCCUAGGGUGCCCUGCGGGAACUCCCGCAGGCUCCCCAGGCUUGCUGAUAGCUUCCUGAAGCGCACUGACCCCUCUCGCUCUCCAAGCUUCAGCGAAAGCCUGCAUUCGCCCCAUAGGACGCACACAGAUUUCCCCUUCAUUUUUGGAGGGGGAAAAGUGUGUCCUAUAGGGCGAAAAAUACGGUAAAUCUGUUGGUGAAAUAAUAACCAGUGUUUAUGAAACACCAGUUUUGAAGAUGUAUUGCAAUAAAUUGUAUUGAUUGCAUAGUAUGACAAUAUAGCCUAAUAAAAUAUGAUUCUGCCUCCAUUCCACUUUGCUGCUAUUGACUGACCUUACUAGGGUACACAAAAUAGUUUCUGCAAUGAAAACUGGAGCCUGACCAUGGACGUCUAUGCUGUGGUAACAGCUUGAAUAGAUUAGAAAAUUGUAAUCUUUAUAAGGCUGCUGAUUGAAUGGGAGUAGCACAUAAAUUUGCUGUGUAUAAUAUAUGGCCUUCUAUAUGUAACACAGGGAUGAAUGAAAUCCCAAUACUAUUCCCCAAACAAUGGGAACUGGCUUUGAGCUGUAUCUCCUUUCCCUGGUUCCAAUGAACGACCUGCAAGCUGUCCCUGCAUGGAUUAGCCUGUUAAUAAGCUAUGGUUCACUUCCACAGUCCCAAACAAACAGCAAAAAAACAGAAGGUAUAUAUGUAAAAUAUAUGUAAAAAAACCACUAAGCCUCAUUUGUAAAUCACAAAGCAUAAUCAUCAACUUAGAAUAAAGUUUCAUCUUUGCAAAUCGAAACAAUAUUCAGUAGCACCAGCCUCUGUGUUUUUGCUAUGACUAAUCCUAUCAUUGCUGUGUUAUGUAGUACCAUAUGACAAAAUUCUCUGGCUGCUAGCAUAAUUUAAUUCAUUCAGGCUUCUUUUAUGAGGUUGUUUUAGAACACAAAAGAAACUCUUAAUGAAGUCUCUUGUGGCAAACUAAAUGAAAGAAUACAUUUGUUUGAUUGUGCAAAUGAGAAGUUGCACUCUAUGGUCCAUUUCACUCUUGUUUUCCUUAUUCCCCACUGUUGCAAUAUUGAAUCUAUUAUAUUACUUUUGUCAAUUUGGUUUUGCAAUUUAGUAUACAGCUGACCAGAUAAUCUCUAGUUAUUUUAAUGAUGGGUCCUCCAAUGUUGCAGUCAAGAUAUGAAAGCUUGCUGAGCCAUACAUGUUGUUGUUUUUCCCCAAAAGAAAACCUAAUGUAACUUUAUUUUAAUAGCUAUCAAUAUAUUUUAUAGUGCUGGGAGCAUUUUGUGUCCAAGUUGAACUCUGGUAGGUUUUUUGUUACUUUGCUCUCAUCUUGUAGGAUGUGUGUGAAAAGUUUAUAGGCCAAAGGGACAAAGCCUUUCUGCUCAUCAGAACCCCUUAAUUAUGCCAGAGAUUUUGAUAGAUGAGCAGCAAAGUCCAAACAAACGUAAAGCUACACACACACACACAACCCCCCCACAAACCUAUACACACACACCUUAUUUGUAUUUUUCAUUUAUACUUAUUACAUUUAUAUACCACAGUUUUCUCCAAGAAACUCCAAGUAGUGUAUGUGGGUCUCCCCCAUUUCAACCUCACCAUGCUAAUCAUUUAAAUUAGGCUAAAAGAUAGUCAAUUUAUAACUUUGGAAAUGGAACCUGCAUCUUCAUGGUCCAAAUCUGACACUUAAACCUGUACACCACACCUCUGCCACGAAUUCACUAGGUGGCUUUACGCAGGCCACUAUACCUUAAACCCAAUUUUGCUAUAUAUAUAUACCCACACCUCCACAUGCCAUAUGCCUGCUGGAAUGACCAAUAUUUUGCUAGCUAUCAAAAUAAAACAAAAGCAAGACCACAUACAAAUCCAGAAAGAAAAAUCAAGAAAAGUAACUUCACCAAAGUCAUGUUAUCCCUCAGACAUCCUGAAAUGCCUUGUGAAUUUUAACUAAGAUAAACAAAUAUGUUGAAUGAUGGACUUCUCUGAGGACAGCUGCCCAUUGUGGUACCACUACAGAAAAAGUUGCAAAAUUUGCACCAUCUUCCUUAUUUUGCUAUGAAGCUUGCAACAGUCCAAAACAGAAAUGUAAUGGGAAAGAGAAGGGGGACAACAGCCAAUGAGGCAAACAAAUAUCUCUGCUGAGCACCCAUGAAGUUCAAGCGUGCAUUAAAUGCACCAAAGGGUAGCAAUAGGGGCCACUUGCUACUGUGGACUUUCAUAUGUCCUAAUCAAAUAGUUUGUCCCUCAACAUUUCCAGUUUAGCAAAAAAAGAACCACAUGAGAAAGGGAAGCUGAACAAUAAGACCUGUCAAGUUGCAUUUUGUGUCAAGAGGUAUGCUCAGUGAUGACACCUGGGCUUAAGUGCUGUCUGCUUGCAUCAGUCUGAUCGUGCACUGCCUGAGAAUCAGAUUAACUGCCGAGGUCAGAAUUGCAUUUGUAAGCUCCACCAGACAUCUGCCACAGGUACAAACAAAAGCAGCACCAACACAGGAGGUGCUGAGAAACACAAGAACCCAUGAAUUGCUUUACUGGAUAUGACCAAAGUCCAUCUAGUCCAGCAUUCUGUUUUCAAAUCUGAACACAGCAGUGACCAGGCCCAUGCUCUGGUAGUUCACCAGCAGCACAUGACAGUGAUAGACCUUCUGCUCUUGCUUAUCCCCCUGAGGAUAGGGAAGGGCCAGAGUUCAGAGGCAGAUUACAUGCUUAGAAUGCAGUCCCUGGUUAGUGUGAUAUCAGGAAGAAGCACUCAGAGAUCAACUCAAUAUAAGGCAACUUCAUAUGUUUAUCUUUGACAUUGAUAUUCAAGAUACAUACUGCCAGUCCAUUCACUGCCAAGUCUAAUUGCCACAGAAGAUCAUAAACUCAAGAAUGGGUGAGCUGGCUUGGGCUAUUCAUCAGCUAAAGCAGUUGGUACAUGUUUGUGAGGACUCUGCUACCACAUCAUACUGGCCUAUAGUGAUCUGUGCAUGCAAAGCUAGUAGCUAUAGAAGUCAGUAAACCCUGGAGUAUGUAAUGAAAGGCAGCAUACAAAUUUAGAAAUAAAUACCUCAAAGACAGGUCUUUAUCCCCACACACAAACACAUUACGAGGAAAGCAUCAGAGAUUAGAAGCUGCUUUGACUUUUUCAGCCUCAUGACUGGGAAUACUCAGCAUCUCUUAAAAAGCUAAAAAUUCCCCUCCUCCAAAUUUGGUAUGUGGGCCUUGACCAGAUUUGAUUGUGCCUCAUCACCUAACAUUUUGAAUCAAUAUGCAAACUUGAGGCUUCUUCAACUUUGUAGCCCCUGGGCCUGUUCACCUCUUCUUUCGCAGUUCUUUCCCUCAGACUUUCCUUUUCUACAUUUCUCUGGACCAGCACCUCUGUCUUCAUUCAUUUCCCAUUUUCUCAGAAUGCUACUCAUUUCUUUCCUAAGUCUCAGUUUUCUCUCCAUCUUUAGGACCUUAACAGCUCAACCCAGAGCUCAAACAGUGAUGUGCAUCUACUCUUUCCUAACUCUCCAACAUGGUUUCCAUUGCUUACUGCUUUGCAUUAUCCCUCAUUUUAGUAUUUUUGCAUGAUUCUUAGUAUUUUUGCAUGAUUCUUAUAUGAUUCUUAUAUAUUUAAAUCCUGAAUACCCUUUCUUUUCUUUAAAAUCCUCAAGUCAUUCUGCAAGCAUCAUCAUCACCACCUACCGCUACCUACCUUAGAUUAAAAGUCAGGUGUUAGUUUUACUUUAAUUUGUCCUGAACUUGCUCCUUGGACAAAUUUUAAAAGUGCUUAUAUUCACCAAGCUAGAAAAGUAACUUGUGAAGCUUUUUAGCAUGAUAUAUUAUAUGCAAUCUAAUUUAAUUCUUGUCUUUGCAGUCAUUAAAUCUUCUAGUGUAUUUUCAUAAGGCCUGUUUGCAAACAGGUGUUCCUUCCUUCUGUGAACAUUUAUGGCUAGCUGCAUCCUUGCAUUCACCACACUGGGGGCUCUUGUUUUGAAAAGUCUGUUUUGUUAUCGUCACUCAGGUGAACUGGCAUCAGGGUUCUGGCUGCAAGGUGGGAAAUAAGAGCUUUAGAAAACAGACAUGGAUUCAGGCACUGGGGUUAACACAGGAUCAAGCUUACUUCAUUGUAGUCGCUCACAGCAGUGCAUGGAUCACAGUAGGCUCCCUUAUUAUCUGCUUUACCUUCCUCACCAUCAGAAUUCUUGUUCUCAGAGGCAGCCCAAUCCUCCAAACACUGGCAAGAAACAAAUUCCACUUAAGUAUACGGGGUCUGAUAACAGCAGAAACCUCAAAAGAACUGGGUUGUUGGUGAGAGUUAAUAACACCCUACUGUGCCAGUGAAGAGCUACAUGAAAUAGCCCUUUGUUAACUAAAGAACGGCAGUCAAGAUAUUUAGCAAGGUUUGAACAAAGACUUGAGUAAAAAAAGAGAGAAAAGAACUAAAGGAAAGACAGCAAACAGGUCUUGCAAAGCAGCAUGUUGGAGAAUAUAGACUCGUCUGGCUGCUCUUUGGAUUUUCUUGUGUUUGUUCCAGUACUCCCCAAACCCUGCUAGAUUCCCAUAUUUCUUGCUUCUCUAUCUCCUCUGCUGUCUCCCUGUUGCAGAGGACCACCAGGUGAGCGCUAUGCAUCUUCACCUCUAUGCCUUUCUCCUUUAGUGCGUGUACUUAGCAGAAGAAUAACAAUAACCAUGAUCACAACAGGGAUAACCAAACAAAACCACCACCAUGAAAUGUUAAAGCUAGUUGCUUGAGUUGAAAUCAGAAUUUUAAGCAAGUUUAGAGGAGAAAUACAGUGAUGCCUUGCAAGACGAAAUUAAUUCGUUCCACGAGUUUUUUCGUCUAGCGAAUCUUUCGUCUUGCGAAGCACGAAAUCCCAUAGGAAUGCAUUGAAAUUCAAUUAAUGUGUUCCUAGGGUCAAAAAAAGUCCAAACAAAGCCAAAUUUGGUACAACAAGAGUUUAUUAAGUGCUCUUUAAAGUCACACAUACUGUAAAGAGCAUUUCAAAAAUUGAAGGAACAAUAAAUUAAGUUUCUAAACAUGACAGAAAAACAUUUAAAAACCCUCCUCAACUGUUCCCGCAGCCACCCACCACACAGAAAUUCAAAUCCAGAAUUUUUUUUUUAAAAAAACAGCAGAGUGGCCCAAUGGUCACAAAAAAAUCAUAAAAAUUCAGAAAAAAACCACACAAGCUUCCAGAUUCUUGCAAACCCCUCCCCAACUGUUCCCCCAGUCACCCAGCACACAGAAAUUCAAAUCCAGAAUUUUUUUUAAAAAACAGCAGAGUGGCCCAAUGGUCACAGAAAAUCAUAGAAAUUCAGAAAAAAACCACACAAGCUUCCAGAUUCUUGCAAACCCCUCCUCAACUGUUCCCCCAGCCACCCACCACACAGAAAUUCAAACCCAGAAUUUUUUUUUAAAAAAACAGCAGUAUGGCCCAAUGGUCACAAAAAAUCAUAGAAAUGCAGGAAAAAAACACACAAGCUUCCAGAUUCUUGCAAAUCCCUCCCCAACACCAAGUCCUUGAAUUCCAAACACACCAACCCAAAAUCCAAAAACCCCCAAAAAGUUUUAAAAGUUUAACUUACCAAAUGGCUGCAAAAGAAGUUUUGGAAAAGCUUCAAAAAUCACCAAAGUCUUCAAAAACCUCAAAAAAGGCUACCACACCGCGUGCUAUGAGUUGCUCCUCGAAGUCAAGUCGCAACUGCACCUCUUCAAGCAAUGCACCCUGGGUAUUAACGGUUUUAUGAAAAAGGAAACAAACUUGCAAGACGUUUUCAUCUUGCGAAGCAAGCCCAUAGGGAAAUUCGUCUUGCGAAGCAGCUCAAAAAAUGCAAAACCCUUUCAUCUAGCGAGUUUUUCGUCUUGCGGGGCACCACUGUAUAUGAUGAAUUCCACCAAAAGUGACAUUUGAAGCAAAUUUGGAGCCUCCCUCAAAUGAUUGAAAACAUUAAACAGUUGUAAUAGGAUCACCAACGUUUCUCAGGCAGAUAGUCUCAAAUCCGUAGUUUGGAACUCAUGGGAAAAGAUGGAGUAUAUUUCUGAAUAACUACAUACAUAGUUAUUUGACAGAGAGGUCAUUUCCAAAUUGUGUUUCCUAUCUCUAAGGUUCUGAUAUAUAAAAAUCAAGUGUUCAACAUUUUGCUGCCUGAUCCUGAUAGUAUAAAGAGGGAACAUGAUGCUGAUGCCCCCCCCAAGUUAUUUUAUGCCUGUACUUGUGAAGAAUAACUGCUUGCAUACACAAAAGCAAAUAAACUGUUACAUUUCUCCUUAGCGCUGUAAAAACCUGGGCCAUCUGUAGCUCAUCCUUUUCUUGGUCAAUAAUAGAUGAACGAAGCCCUGAAUACUGAAUGGAUAAUCCAUCAAAGACAACCAAGGGCAUAAUGCUUUCUCAAAGCAAUUUCACAAUCAAGGUAGGAAUUGCACUCAUUUGACCGCCUACCUUGUUUUAUUUCCCGAAGCAUAAAUUGUCACAUGCAAAAGCAUUAGCCUCCUGAGGGACAUGGUGCUGUAAUCCCAGCUCCUUAAUUAGAAGAAUGGGAGAGUAAGAAUUAAUGACGUUUCAAGUGACAUUGAACAAAUUUUAGGUAGGGUGGUAUAGUCUCGUCCACAAAGCCUAAAAUAAUACAGUAAUUGGAGCAAGACAAGCAAAGAUGAAAACACAAUCUUCAUUUCAUUUAAAACAACAGAAUUUUAACCAAAUACACUGCUGGGAAAAUUGAAUUUACUGCCCUGGCAGCAAAAGUUAAUAGGGUCAAGUGAAGAAAUGGAAAAUUGUAUUGUGACACUGUGCAUGGCAGUUUUGUUAUUCUAAAAUUGACAAAUAUACCACUUUGCGUUUUCAAAUCAGAAACAUAAGACUCGGUCCUUCAACACACUUCCUCAAGAACAGUCCAGAGCUUUGAAACCCAUCAGUAAAAUGUGCACUGAAUGAAAGAGCAAGGCCUUUUCCGCUGUCUUUCUGAAACUUGAAGUUGGCUUAGUGUGUAUCACGCAAUCUGUAGAUGUUUGCAUAAAAGAGUAAUCAUACUAUGAAUUUUUGAAUUGAUACUCAUUCUGUCAGGAGAUUCUAGAAUAAAAAGAAGAAGCAAAAGGAAAAAAUGCACUUCUUCAUACAACAUGCAAUUACCAUAUUGGCCCAAAUAUAAGCCACCUUUUUUUUUCUUCCAAAUUCUGACUGUGAAAAGUUAAAGUGCAGCUUGUAUUUGGGACUGAUCCCUGCACACCCACCUCCUGGCACUACCGCCCUGAAAGGGGGAUGGGGGCAGUCGGCGCCGGCUUGGGCAGGUAGCGCCGGGAGGCAAUAUUGCCAGGAGGCGGGCACGUAGCACGCUUGGAACUGAGUGCUGGCGCUGGCUUGGGGAGCAGGGUGCCAAGCACCGGUGCCGGCCACCCCCCAUUCAGGGCGGUAGUGCCGGGAGGCAGGCCGCACUCGCAAAUAAGCCUCAAAUUUUAAAGGAGUGGCUUAUUUGCUGGUACAGCUUAUAUUUGGGCCAAUUCUGUAAUUUAUGGAAUUGACGACCACAAAACAUGGUGACUAUUUAUAUUAAAGGCGGGGGGAGAGAUUAGUCACAUUAAUGGACAGGCCUACAAACAGCUAUAAGGCAUGAUUACAAGAUGGUCCCUCCACAUUUAGAGGAAUGCUAUACACCUAAAGGUCAUUGUCUUCAUGCCGUGAUUUUGAACUUCCUGGAGUUAUCUAGCUGGCCACUUGGAAACAGAAUGCUGAAGGAUUCUGGACCUUUGGACUGAUACAGCAGCCUUCUUCUUGUGUUCUUUUUUGGGGGAUAGUAAGUUCAAAGUUCACCUUUUUAGGUCAGUUUGUGGGGAACAGUGCAGCUGCUGCUUCUUGGUUUCCCCUUCCCUUUCCUGCCCUGCCGUUUUUUCAUUCUGCUUUCUCUCUAUUCUAAAAUUCUGUCUGGUCUACCAUCAUGCACAAAAUGACUGGCGAGGUUAAAGGAAGGCCUGGUUAUGGGAAAGAAGGCUGGAUUCCCAGCCUGGCUGGCACUGCUGCCUUCCUUCUCCCCAACUGGCCUGGAGAUAUACUGCUGCUGCUGCUAAUCAGAUGGCUGUCAGGAUGCAGGAAGGGCAGUGCACAGAUGAGGCAUGUGGGCAGAAGCGGUGGCCAGCCAGCCUGUGGAUCCACAGCUGAUACUAACACAUCCCAGGCAGCGAACAUGAGCCAGCAGCAUGCAGGAUGUACCUCAGAAGCAGCAAAUGGGCUCAAAGCAUCAACACCCCCCAAAUCCCUAGGUUUCACUUUACCCCCAUUCCUGGCCUGCUCCCUAUACUGAUUGACUAUAUGUUUGAGGUGGGCAAAGAACGAACAAACGUCUCAUGUACUGGCACAUAUGGACCAACUCUGGCCACUGCCCACUCUACAGAGAGGCUGAGGGGUUUUUUGUUAUUGUGUGGCAAGUUCUACAGGGGAUGGGGUGUUUGGCAAGGUCUGAGGAGAGAAGGGGUUGGCAAGUCUUAAGGUAGUGAGGUGGUUGGCCAGGUAUAAGGGGAUGGGUAGAGGUUCAAUGAGUUCCAAGGGGAGUGCAGGUGGGGUUUUGGUGAGGUUUAAAAGGGAAUAGGGGUUGCCAAGGUAUGAGGGGUGGGGAGUUUGGCGAGAUCUAAAAGGAAGUUGGAACCUUGGAAUGGGCCUAAGGGGAGUGGGGGUGGCAAGGGCCAUGGGGUAGACCAGGCUGGUGUGUGAAGCGUGCCACUGCAAAGUAUUUCCAGUGUUUGCCCACGAUAGCCCUGCCAUACUAUCGCUUUUCAUACAUAUUCAGUUGCGGCAAGUGGGGAGUUCUUAGUUCUUUAAAGUCUAAGAUCUAGAAUUUGUGGCACAGGGCCACCAGAUAUGUACCAUGCCAGCAUCUCAGCGAGGCAGAGGGAGACAUGUGUGCUAAUCUAUGAGGGGUUAAGUACCACCUAUGAAUUAUUUUUAGUGUUAAUUCUCUGCUCCUCACUAAGAUGGAUUUGAAAGUGGGGCUGAUGCCAUUGUUUGAUCCAAGCACCAGCAUCAAUAGUGCAGCCAAUUUCCCCACAUCAUCCUGGUGCCAUUUAAGUUGUUAAAUUUUGCAUCCAAAAGAAAUUUGUGCAAAGAUGAAAAUAAGCCUCUUGAUUUAGUAUUCUGUUUUUUAAGUAAUGUUUCGAAAAAGGUUAAGUGUCAAAUAUUACUCUCUGAGAAAGAUUUGCUGUUUGUUAAGUUCUGGAGUUGGUGGUAGAGUCUCCAUGGGAGGGUCUGGUUUCCUCUUUGGUCUCUUAGUUGCUCUUUAGAGAUUGGGGUUCUAUUUACAUAAGGAUUACAGAGAAGUUUUAUACCUUUGACACUCCAUCCCCUGAUAUCGUAGCUAUGGCGUUUAUUGAAUGUUGAAUAGUAUACCAAGGGAAAGUGUGGAGAUAGUCCAGGAGCUAAGCAAGGUGGCUUUCGUGUCCAGCAUUUGGAAGUCAUAAAUAAAAAUCUGUUUUGACAUUGGGACAGGAUCUAUAUUUGUUUUCAAAGAACCAAAGACUAUGUAAUGUUAGACCAUCUAUUAUUUCAGGUCUGGUCUAUGGUUUAUCCUCAUUUUCCACAAGAAGUGGAAUUGCAUGGGCAAUUUAGUUUGUGUUAUAAUGUAACUCUAGAUUUGGAAUACUCCAUCCUCCACAUUUUGUGUUAAUGAGUAAUAGUUUUGUUGCUAGCCAAGCUUUGUGGCAGUGGUUUUUGAUGAAGGACAUUUUUUCCAGCUUUGCCUUGUCGUACUUUAUUAAGUUGCAAACUGUUAGAGAAAUCAUUAUAUCAAAAGCCUUACAGCCAGUAAAUUAAUAUAAUCUCCCGCUACUUACUGACAGAAUGUUUCUGAAACCUUGUGAUAAUGGCUAGGGGUUUAGCACUUUUUUUCAAAGAAUGGUAAUUCAACGAAGCUUAAAAGAUAUUUUACAGAAAGGCCCUGUUUGACUAAAAGAUAACUGUCAUAAUCAAAACUGACAGCAAAAAAUAAAUCACUUGUGGAGAUUAUCAAUAGUUUUAGAGCAUUGACAGUUCAACUGUCUAAGUGUGUCCUCUCCCAAUAAGGAAUGUGAAAGGAAGGAAGGAAGGAAGGAGGGAGAGAAGGAAGGAAGGAAGGAAGGAAGGAAGGAAGGAAGGACAGACGCUGGCCACUAUCCAAUAGAAGGUAAUGUGCUCCAGGAGCAGAUUUAGCUGCUAUGGGAUUGUGUAAAAUAAAUACCAUCAGGGCAUGUAUCUGUAGAACUGAUUCAUGGGAGGACCGGAUAGAGCAUGAAAGUAGUGUGUGGAUAUAGUCUUACUAAGAUGAAGACUACUGAGCAAUACUGGCAAGUGGCAAAGGAACAUAGCUCAGUGAUAGAGCGCAUGGUUUGCAUGCAGAAGGACACUGAUUCAUUCCAAAGCAGCAACAGUUAAAGGGAAUAGGUAGGAGGUGACAUGAAUGACCUCCUCGGAGUCCCUGAAGGUCUUGUGCGUAAUGUAGUAAGCAAUCGUGGGUUAGAUGGGCAAGCAGCCCGGCAAAUUAAGCUGGUGGACUAUGCCGAAAUGGCUAAAAUGACGAGAAGAAUCAGAAAUCAGGAAGACCAAAAUUUUAAUAAGGAAUGGGGAAAAUAUAUAAUUUACCUUAAAAACCAAUGUAAACAGCUAAAAUCAUUAGUAGGAUUGGAAUAACACUUGUAGUUUAAUGGUGAAUCUUGGACAUAAUGGAGACGUAACAGAUCUGGGUUAUCAUAAAAGAUGCAGGAGGAAAUGAUUAACAAUAGGACCCACAAAGGGGAGGAGGGAUAUGUGAUUGUAAAACUUUAAUCUGGAAAACCAAAUGAAUAAAUUUAUAUAAAAAAAGACGGGCAAGCAGCCCUACCUGCUAUAAGGCUGCAUUCUCACAAAGUAUUUGAAGACGCAACAAAGUGAACUGGACUCCUUGGCAGGUUUUGAAUAAACAUCCACAAUUUUUUACUGAUAAUAAUUAGCUAAACAGUUGGAGGAUCUAUACAACUCUGUAACAUGCAGAAAACAGCAUUAUUGGAGAAACCAAAGACUGGAACUGAGGGAAGUUGGGGGGUGGGGUGGGGGUGGGUUUUGUGGGGGGAGGGGGGAGGAAAAAUGGGGGGGAAUAAGGAUAUAUUUUUGGAAAAUAUGUUUUGUUAUAACUUUGAAUAAAAAAAAUUAAAAACAAAACAAACAAAAAAAAGGCUGCAUUCUGUGUGCUGGGCAGGACUGUGACAAAUCAAGAUUAAAGAGGGGGAAAGUGGCACUUCCCCACUCCUCUCAAUAGAAAGUGUUGUUUGAAGGCCUUUAUUGGUCCUUUAGAUGUCAUUACCAGGAUCCAAAGAAUCUUGCAACCAGUUCCCAGUGUCUAAGGUAAUGCAACAGAGUGUGGGGAGCCAGAUAAUGCACCCCCAAUCUUCCCACUCAUGCAGUCGACAUUACAUGUGGGAUAAUGUCUGAACAGUGUUCCUGUGCCAUUUUUCAAAAUUAUUUGUAAUCAUAGAUCAACCUUCAUGCCAGCAUUUUACAAUACAUAAUACAGGAUAAAGUGACAGAAGGUCAUUACCAGCAUGCAUGCAGUCAGCUCUGUGCUAUCUCUGCUUUUGCUCUUUCCCCUUCUCCUAUUUUGUUUUUCCCUUUAUAAAUAUUUUAAUGUGAGCGUUUGUGAUUUCUUUUAUUGAUCAUGGCAAGUCAGCCCAGAAAUGAAGAUGCAAAACAUGAUUGCCUGUGCAAAUGGGAUAGAGCAGUCCAGAGAGACUCCUUGUGGAUUUCCUUUUCCACCUGCAAAUAAUGUAACAGAAGGACCUUCGUGGCAGAUCAUAAUGAACACAAACCAGGAAGGAAAUGACAGUCUCCUCUUCUGGUCUCCAGAGCAAACAAAAACCACAAAAUGAGUGUGGCUGUCUAAGUGUGGAAUUGAUUGGCCUGCACAGAGGGAGGGGGGAAUGAAAACAGACAAGGCUAUAUCCAUCAAUAUCCUCCACUCUCUUGCUCUCACACACUGCAGUGCACUGGCUUCAAUGCUCCCUGCCUCAGUAACUGAGAAUAAUCCCAUAUUGCUGCCUGCCUGUAAACUUACUGUGCGUCCCAUACAAAGUGAAAAUGGAAAUAUAACUGCCCUUAAUCCAAAUGUCCAGGCUGAACUGAUUUGUAAACCAGAUUUGUUCCAGACUGGCAGGAAACAAAACUUUUUUUUACUUCCCACCCCAUUUUCCAGGGUGUUUUUAUUUCUCCCCCUCUGCUGCAUAUUUCUGUCUCUUAUACCAUAACAACAAUAUUCUCUAAUUCCUUCCGUUGCUCCUAUUUCAAAUCCUGCUUGUGAAUUCAUCAUACUGUAAUAUUUCCUUAAAUAGUGCAAAAGGGUCUCCCAUUCUCCCACAAAGCAAUCAUCAUUAGAGUCUCUUAUUUUGGCUGUUAAUUUUGCCAAUUCCGCAUAGUCUAUCACCUUACUCAUGGGUAGGCAAACUAAGGCCCGUGGGCCAGAUCCGGCCGAGUCACCUUCUAACUCUGGCCCGUCGACUGUCCGGGAAUCAGCAUGUUUUUACCUGGGUAGAAUGUGUCCUUUUAUUUAAAAUGCAUUUCUGGGUUAUUUGUGGGGCCUGCCUGGUGUUUUUACAUGAGUAGAAUGUGUGCUUUUAUUUAAAAUGCAUCUCUGGGUUAUUUGUGGGGCAUACAAAUUCGUUCUCCCCCCUCCCCCCAAAAAUAUAGUCCGGCCCCCCACAAGGACUGGGGGACAGUGGACCGGCCCCCUGCUGAAAACGUUUGCUGACCCCUGACCUUACUUAUCUUUAGUGGGAACUUCUUCUUCCAUCUUUGUGCACAGAGAAUCCUAUCUGCUUUUGUUACAUGCAUAAACAACUUAAUCACCUUUUUUUUUGAAUUUCUGACCCCAUAAUCCCUAGAAUAAAAGCUUCAGGUUUGUUUGUUUGUUUGUAUAAUCACUUGAGCAUGCACAUAUAAUUGGGCAAGGUAAGAACAGUCAUUCUGAUAAAAUUCACUUGAAAAAUAGAAGCAGUGGCAGAAUCUCUCCCACAAAUUGGAUAGAUCCCUACACAUAAAAUAUUACCAAACUUACACAGCACCCCAGGUGUAAAUGAAUCAAGACAUACAAUAUUAUAAUUAAACCAAUCAAUCUAUAGAUUGGCCCUUUUAAUUUCAAUAUAUAAUGAAUUAACACAAGAUAAAUGCGAGGGUGCAUACAGAAGGAAUCUCCUAUUUAACCUACUUGUUUUCUCGGCUCCUUUGUCAGACAGCUAGUCUUCAGGUUGUAGAUCAGAUCCUCAUUAGUGAUUGAGCACUUGGAAAGGCUGGCCUGAAAGCAAGAAAACAAACAGUAUUUCCACUUCCUGUUUCCAGGUGCUUUGAUUUAACAGUUUGGUUUAAAUUGUAUAUUUAAAGGAUUUCUACAUCUGCACUUCAGCAAAGUUUCCAAUGCAAUUUACCAAAUCAGGUAAAAUACAAUUUUAAAAUAUAAUGCAUUACAUAGUGUUAACAUUAUACAUUAAAAAGUCAGAGGAAUAGAAAUGUGGCUGCUUGAAAGAAUAAUGGUGUUGGUGCCAGGUAGGCCUCCCCAGAGAGGGAAUACCCAACAUGAAGCAGUGGGUAACUUUUCAGCAAUUUUUGCAAACACAUUCCAAAACCCCUUUUUUGCUUUCUCCUCUCCCCUUUGGUUCCUUUUUCUCCUUUCCUCAUUUUAUUGGGGCUGGGGUGUUCUUUGGGGGGGGGGGGUUGUUGGGGGAAUUGUUUCUGUUGUAGUUGUUGGUUUUUUUGUAGCUUUAUCUUACAUCUUGCUAUAUAUGUGGCAAUUGUUCAGUUUGAUUGUGUAUUUUUUUAAAUGCUUGAUUACUGUUUAUGAUUUCUUUCGUUAUUUUAUAGUUAAGUAUCAUGCGAAAGGCUGGACUGGAUAAAUCCCAAGCCAGAAUUAAGACCAGAAGAAAUAUCAACAACCUCAGAUAUGCAGAUGACACAACCUUGAUGGCAGAAAGUGAGGAGGAAUUAAAGAACCUUUUAAUGAGCGUGAAAGAGGAGAGCGCAAAAUAUGGUCUGAAGCUCAACAUCAAAAAAACGAAGAUCAUGGCCACUGGUCCCAUCACCUCCUGGCAAAUAGAAGGGGAAGAAAUGGAGGCAGUGAGAGAUUUUACUUUCUUGGGUUCCAUGAUCACUGCAGAUGGUGACAGCAGCCACGACUAAACAACAACAACAACAACAACAACUUUUCAUGUUGUAAGCUGCCUUGAGCAUAAUUUGAACUGUGAAAAGGCGGCAUACAACUAAAACGAAGUUUGUCUGUCUGUAUGUAACCCAAGGUUUUUUAGCAAUGACGUUGUGAUGUUGCCUUUGCUCUAAUAGCCUCUCAGUCACAUACUUGUUUAUUUAAAAUGGGCAUUGCUUUUUAUCAGUGAUGUCAAAGUGAUUUAUAAAAAGAUAAAACAAGUGAAGCAACAAAUAAAAUAAAGAGCCCAUAAAAACACAAUUAAUAAAAAGAGCUUAAAAUGUUGAAUAUAUUCCACACAAAAAACGCUUAUGUCCCUGUGGAGAUGGCAGUACCGAAUCGGUGGCGCAUGCCCUUCUGGCUUGCACUCUUUAUAAAAACUUGAGGAAUGAGAUUAUCUCCCCCUUUUAUUGUCCAUUCCGGGUCGCCCAGCCACUGCCCCAGUGUCCUUUCUCUUGGCAGAUCAAGAUGAUCAGGUGACAGCAAAGGUUGCAAGGUUUCUAGGUGGGGCAGUCAAAAUAAGAUCCACUAUUUGACUAUUGCUUCAAAACCCUAAAAUGUAUUUUAUAUAAUUGACUUUUUAUUUCUAUUCUUUGUAUAUUGUAUUGUUGAUUUAUUGCUAUGGCCGAUGGCUGGUGCAAACAAAGAUUCAUUCAGUCAGUCAUUGAAUAUAGGAAUAAUAUUUUUAAAUGGCCGGAUGGAUAAAAUGCUAAUAAAAGGCUUUUGCCUGACAUCUUAAAAACAGCCAGGGUCAGACAUUUUCCCCUGGGAAAGCCAUUCAGUAGCUGGGGUGGCACUGCUGAAAUGCCCUUUUGAUGUAGAUGUGCCAACCCUGAUGGAGGUGGUAUUUCGAGAAGAGGAUCAGCCAUAGAGCUCAGCAUGCGGCAGCUUGGUAGGAGAAGAGACAUGUGUCAAGUACUUGGAUAUGAAGCCAUUUGCGUUGUUUAUUUAUUGAUUAGAUUUUUAUCCCACAUUUCCCCUCAAAAGAGCCCCGGGCAGCAAUCAACAAAAGAGUAAAAACAAUACGAAGAUUUCUAAAGCAUUUAGAGCUUGAAAGGCAAGCACCAGCACUUUGAACUGAACCUGGAAGCCAGUAGACAUUGGGAUUCUUCUACCCACGCUCUGGGGGCUCAAGAUGCGUUCCCUGAUGGAACAAUCAUAACAGAGCAACACUGUAUUCCACCCUUUGUUUUUCUGAAGUCAUAAAUUAAUCUGCAUUAUCUUUCUAAUUAUCUCUUAAUCAUCUGCAUAUCUGUAAGGCAUCAUUUAACACUUGUUACUCUACCGCUUGAAAGUAGCAUCGCCGUUGUUAACACGUGUUUUCUACUCACAUAAAUAUUUAAGUGACAAAUCGGGAAAUGUUAAAAUCACAAAUAAUGGCACAUACAAAUCAAAUUAACACAUAAUAAAAUUGUCAGCUAUUAAUGGCAUGCAAGGCAUGCAAUGACAGCAUAUUAUUAAUCCAAAUAAAAUUCAUUAAGUUUUCAAAGGGCUUGCAUUCUGCAAUACAGGGUUGAGCACUUUCUUCAGGCGGGUGAGAUACUUCUAUUUUUUCCUUCCACACUGUGAUCAGUAUAAGAGAUCUGACUACCUGUAUUUUGCACACAUUCUACCUAUUUUUAGAGCAACAUUUGCUGAGCCCGGCUUAAAAUAACUGUGAGCGGGCCCACAUAGCCCUAUAGUGUCUACUCUGGCAAUUAACAUUUCUUAUCACCUGUCCAGGAACAUAAGGAAAGCCCUGCUAGCUCAGACGAAUGACAUUUGUUUAUUUAUAUAUUUAUUUAAUAAAUAUCCUGCCUUUCCCCCAGAACUGGGACUCAAGGUGGUUCACAAGCAUUUAAGUAAACACAAAUAAAACAUAGGCUGGGUCUACACUGAUCUUCUAAACGUUGGAAAAAAAUAAUGUUCUAUAGUGCUUAAUAGCAGUUUUCCAUUGCCAGUGGCUUUCUGCUCUGCAUCGCCCUCUGGUGUCACAUUUUAAUAACGCAUUUUAACAUUAUAAACGCCAAGUGUAGAUCUGCCCAUAGAUUGUGUGUGUGUGUGUGUGUGUGUGUGUGUACAGUGCUUUUUUCUCUGGGGGGACGCAGGGGUACACAUACCCCCUAAACAUGGCUUUAUUGAGGGGCAAUAUUUCAAUAUGAGUAGGGAAAUAAAAGUACCCCUACACAUUUUUUUAAGAAAAAAAGCACUGUAUGUGUAUAUGUAUGUAUAUGUAUAUAUAGUUUUAAAGUAAUUUAAUUAUAAUGGAACUAAAAUGAUGGAGGGGCCUCUAUUAAAAUGCAUAUAGUAAAAAUCUGCUAUCUAUUCCAGUAUCCCAUUUUACACAGUAAACAUGGUGAAGGUCCACUGAAAGUACCAGUUUGGGCUGGAUAACCCCCCCCCCCAAUAAAUCAUUUGGGGGCAUAGCCAACCAAGUCAUAUUCAGGGGUAGACACACUGAAACCAAUGGACUGGUUAGAUUAAAGCCCAAAUAUUUCAGUGGCUCUAUCCUGUGUAUGACUUGGUGAAACAUCACCCUAAGUAUUUUAUGGGUGGAAAUUCUAUUCCACCAAAAUUGGUCGUUUCAGUGGAGCUCUGCUAGACGUACUCCUGGCAUUAGGUAUUGAAGAAGGUAAAUGGAAUUCACAUGGUGAGCAACAAAGAUCAAGGGAAUGCCGAAAUACAUAUCGAUAGUGAUUAACUCUAUGUGCUCAAAUGAUGAUUGCACAUCUGCGUUAUGUUUUUGUGGAAAUGCAUAGACUUUGGUCUAGGGCUAGAUUGAAGUUAUUUGGAAUUUGUCUGGUUUUGAGGCUGCUGCUGACAUGCCAUUGUCUUUUGCCAUUCUUGAUUUUCUUUCAGGUAGCUCCUGAAUCUUAUUGAAAUGACUUGGGGUCACUUGUCAUGCAUUAUGGAGAACAGUAAUUCAUGUGUCAGAAAAAGUUAACCCAACCGUCAUACCCCUGUGUGGGAUUUGUGACUGGUGAAGUGAACAUUUCAAGACACCCAUUGUUGAAGAAAGCCAUGAGCCUCAGGGUAUUGCCACUUUCUGCCAGAGUGUCAUAGGCUUUUAAGCACACAUAAGCUUAUUUCUAACUCAGGCUGAAGAAUCACCUAGGAUUUCUAAAAAUAAAUAUAAAAAUCAUUUUCUCCGUGGUUGAGUAAUACAACGACUGCAAAGAACCAAGCACUAACUAUGAACUAUCUUCAACAAGGAACUAUUUGCUCAAAUAAAACAGCAUAGAUUAAGUUUGCACAUGUUUGAUCAUUUUGCCUACUUAAUUCAGCUUCCAAAAUUCAGGGGCAUGAUUCAUCCCCUUCCAUUCACACAUCUCUAAACAUGCAGAAACAGAUUUGAAGGCAGCCUUGCAACAGCAUCCCUGUCUCCCCACCACCAUGGCCAGAUGCACAGAUAUUGCCCGUACAUUGUGAUGUGUCUACCUUUACAAGUGGGUAAUGUGCUGGAAAAAUUAGAGGUGUGUCAAACCAGAAAGUUUAUAGGGAAUGGAAAAUAUUUAAUGAAUAUUUAAAAACGUACUGUACGAACAAUAAGAUACUUGCAGAAAUAGAGUGAUACUGGUAACCAAGAAUUACAUAAAAUGUAAUAGUGGAAUAUAUAUAUAUAUAUAUAUAUAUAUAUAUAUACACACACACACACACACACACACACACACACAAAAUAAUAAUAAUAUGAAUCUGUGCAAGGAAUACAGAUAAUAUAAGUAGCAUAGUAUAAUGAGAAUUAUUGAAAGUUAUACAUUUUAAUCUGUUAUGUAAGUGUAAUUUGUUUAUGUUUGUUUAUGUUUGUUUCUUUAUCUUUUCUUAUUUCAUCAUUUCUAUUCAUUUGUAUCGUUAUGUUUAUGUUUAUGUUUGUUUCUUUAUCUUUUCUUAUUUCAUCAUUUCUAUUCAUUUGUAUCGUUUUCUGUUUUAUAUAUGUAAUUUGUGUAUCUUUGUCUAUGUGAAAAUUAAUAAUGAUUUUCUAAAAAAAAAAAAAUACAAGUGGGUAACUUGCAGUCAGAUCCAAAAUUCUGUGCACUGCAGAGCACUGAUGCAACUUGAGGGGAUUUCUAGUAUGUCACAUUUAGGAUUAAAUGAGAAUACGAUAGGAAGAGCUCAAAAUGUGAACUUCUCUUGACAAUUUGAGUUGGAGCUCCUCCAAACCCUCCAAAAGCACUUUUCAAGUCUGCCCCAACUCAAACUGGAUCUUACAUUCUGUCUCCAACAUUUCCAUUUUAAAUCUGAGAUUAUAAAUUCAAGUUCCACCAUCUCUGACUGCAUAUGAAUAUGAUGUUCUUUCUCAGCCAAGGAACCCUGUAUUCAGUCAUUUGUAGCUGGGAACUGUAGAACUUGUAGAUAAAUCGCAUGAUCUCAGAUGCAAAUGAUAGAAGUCCUUCAAUAUCUACAUAGUUACCCGCUUCCCAAGGGCUUGGAGGAAGUGAAGGUGGGUUGGCACCUAAAUCAGGCUUUUCAAAUGUUCCAUUAAACAUUCAAAUAACCUAUGAAGGUUGUCCAAGUGUUUGACUGGAGCUGUCAAAAGGCCUCAUUUAUUUUGGGGGUUAGGAAUGAGAAGCAGCUUGUGUUUAUAGGGAUAUUCGAAGCUUCCACAUACAGCACACAACAAGCCAAGAAUAUGUUCUACUCACUAUUGGUUCAAUUUAGAAGCCACAUUAGGUGACAGUGUGAUUAAAUUCUAAGGGAAAGCUGGCAAGUUAUGCUACUUGCAGAUACCAGCUAGGGGUGGGGAAACAGUUCCAGUUUGUGCCACUUUCACAAUUUUCAUUCUAAACUCCAUUCCAUCUCAUUUCUACAGCCUUAAAAAAAAAAAUCUGAAAAAAACCCAAACCAAACUAAAAGAAACCACUUGCUUUUAUGAAGUGGUCAAAGAACUGUCCCCUUUUCUGUCUUGAGCAGCCAGCUAGCAUAGCUGCUGCCACAUUAACUGAUUUUUGCCAGCGCACUUGUCUCAGGUUGUGAUGUGUGGUGAUGAUGCCCCAGGACACUGGCUGUUGCCAUGAGUCCAGUCUGGUAUGAAGAAAGAAGAAAGCAGAGGUUCGGGGCACUGGGAGGACUGAAGUUCCUGUGCAGAUGAGGUGGGCGAUUUUCCAAUGUGGAUUAGCUGAUUUCCAAAUCAACCUGAAAUGAGCUGGGGAGAGUGGGUACUUGGGAGGUGGGGGAGGCAUCAAUAAUAAUAAUACUAAUUCUGCUUUUCACAUGUGUGUCAUACUCACAAUUGCUUAAGUCCUUAGACCCUGUGUAUAAAUUUCCCAUAGUUGGCUCUGGAAGUGAAAUAUUUAUGGAUAAAAAUGGUCUUGGCUUGUGGUCUUGUUUGCAGACUGUUUUGUUACAGCUGAACAUUACAGAGCCCACCCCCAGCCUCAAAUGUGUGUGUAAGUGUGUUUGCCAAUGUUUUCCUUAAUUAUAAAGUAGCCCUUUGAAACAUGUCACAUUUUUCUCCAUUUCAAAAUGCAGCGAUGAAAAAUUAAUUUUUAGGACAAAAAUAAAGUAGGGCUGUUUGCACAAUUUCACUUGUCUUUACUCUUUGAGUUAAACAAGAGCAAAUUCACUGGUUGAUUGUGGAUUUGAUUUUCUAACACAAUAUUUAAAUAAAGUCACUAAUUAAUGAUAUAAAAAUACCUGUUUGCUAUUAAGCAAAAGCAACCAGAUGCUGUGCACACAUGCCAAUUAACAUUUGCAACAUUUUUUGCAGAUUAGCAUUCCAGGGGGGAGGAAAUGGGCAGGAUCCAAUUCCAUUUUAAGCUGUUUCAAUUCAAUUUUUCCCACAUCAUAUAUGGAAUAAUGUCAAGCUUCAUUUUGCAUUAUGGACAGUAUCAAUGUUCAUUUUAAUGUUAUGUUUUUGAGCAAUGAGGAGUUCCUCAAUUGUUGAAUUUUUGCUUGUGACUGUAGUAAAAAGGUAAAGGACUAUGGGGUGUAGCACUCAUCUCUGCUUUCAGGCCAAGGGAGCCAGUGUUUGUCCACAGACAGCUUUUCCAGCAUGUGGCCAGCAAUACUGCUGAACAGGCUCAUUGGAAGGUGAAUUUUUACACAAUCAAAUAGCGUUCCAAGAAAAAUUGCUCCAUCACAAAAAUCACCAUUUCUGAUGCCAAACACUUGUUGCAGCUCUAUUUAAAUAGCUGCCAUUAAAAUUAAAGGAACUUAAAAGUCCUUAACUCAGUGUUAUUAAUUGCAGCAUUAGUUGCAGUAUGAAGCUUAUUCUGGCGCACAUAAUCAGCAAAAUUGGUCUGACCAGAUUAAGAAGAGAACCACAAAGUUAUGAAUGUCUCAAUAAUUAGACAUUGUUAACUAGGAAAGCAGAACAGAUGUUGGGUGAUUGCUGCAAUAUGCUCCUAAUUUCCCACAACUAUUUGCAGCAGUUCCCUGAGUAACCAAUACAUACCAACACAUCUACACAUUGAUUAAGAUUGCAUUAACUGUUGUUACGUGUGUACCCUGCCUUAGGAACAUAGGAAGUUGCCUUAUGCUGAGUCCUGCAGAGUCUCUUUCAGGCAGGAGUCUCUUUCAACCCUACCUGGAGAUGCUGAGGUUUGAACCAGAAGCUCUUCCACCAAGCUCUGGCCCUUCCAUCUCAGUCCAUAGCCUUCAGAGCAGCUUAUGCUCACAACCAUGAGUUAUUACUUGCCAGACUCUCAUUCUGAGUUUUAAAAUGUAUCUUCUUCAUUUUUGUUUACUGUCUUCUGGCAUGUUCUGCAUGUCUACAAGGGCAAAACCAAUCAUAAUUCCUAAACAGUAUAGAAAUUGCAAUACCCAUUUGAUUUAUUUCCCCUCUGCUUUCAUCAACUCUUCUCCACAUCUCGUAAAUAAGGUCCCAAAUAAUGUCCUAAAUAAUGUCUCACUCAGGGAUGCUCAUAUGCCACAAUAUUUAUCAACAUGUAUACAUGAAAUAUAUGUUUGGUUCAAAAUAAUGGUACUUUGAUCAUUUAUUUAUGUUAAGAGGUGGUCGUUACACCCGAGCGUAGCAUCUGCGGCUUCAUUUACGGCACAGAAACAGAGUGAUUACUGUAUUAUGAGGUAACCGCACUCGGGGGUAUUACAAAACAUGAAAUACAACUGAGUUGAGGAAGUUCUCCUAAUUUUCCAGGCCUGUGAUUAUCUCAUAGGAGCUCACAGCUUGCAGUUACCAGAUGUUUCACAAUAUCAGUGGCUCUGGAGUUGCUUCCGUGUUAUAACAAGAAGAUUUUACAGCACAGACGAAGGCUGGCAUUUUCUCUGCUGGAAGAAGACAAAAUUGGCAAUUUAGAACAGCGGUUUUAGCUGAGCAGUUUGGUUAACAUCAAUUAAUCUAAUUUAUUAAAACAUUAAGGAACCAAUCACAACCAAGGCCUACCAUAGUUCUUAUAUGUGCCAUGUAUAUCUGUGGGUUAAUAUUCUUUCAUUCAAGCUACAGCAGAAAACAUAUAGGAUCUAAGCCUAAAACAUAUAGAUGCCCAACUUCUGUGGGAUUAUUUGUGUGUGUGGACUUCACCCUCCAGUUAGUAGCUGAUGGGCCAGGUUCUAUAUUAAAGUGAGGACUUCACAGCUAUGAAACAGAGUAACUUGGGUGACAGGCGUUACAUACAAAAUGCAAAAAGCCAAGAUAGCAUUGCAGUAAUUUGGUUUGCAUGUAAAACUAAGCCAAAGCCUGGCUUAGCAUGAACAAGUAAACAUGUGGGCUUCUAAAGGGAAAAUCACAGCCAGUUUGCUCCUUCUCCAUUCCUGCUGCUGUUGCACUGCUGUGAGCUAAGAUGUGCUUUGGCUUAGUCAGUGCUAUGUCUGAACCCAGGCUCAUGGUUUAUCUUGUUCCAGACAAGCCAGAAGCAGUUGCCAAGGCUUGUUCUACAGCUGACCACUCAUUGGGGAGACAAAUGACAAAGCAUUGGGUUUGGAGGUAAUGCAGAGCCAAACUGUGGCUUAACUCACAGCUGUGUAGCAACAGCAGGACCAGUGGGGACAGCAGAGGGGUCAUGAUCUCCUCUCAAGUAGUUCAGAUGUUUCCUCAUUUGCAGUAGACCAUUCUUUGGCUUAGCAUUAGGUGCAAAAGGGCUUGCCUCUCACAACUUUAAAAAACCAAUUUCUUUAUCUCAAAGACAGCAUUUAACCACACCUUAAUUAAAACUCAGUUCUAAUACCAAACAUACAUUUGUGGUGAUGCAUAUUGAUCUGAGUACUAGUUACAUUGUCCACAAAUGUCAUCCCAGAAUGUCCUUCCACAAUAUGCAUCAGCAAGCAACAGGUCUUAAAAAUUUAUGACAGCACAAUCCUAAACAUUGUAUGGGAUUAAGUUUCAUUGUGUUCAGUGAGACUUACUCUCUAGUAAACGAGUUUAGGAUUGCAGCUGGUAAUGGGCUUUAAAGAGAGUCUCUUAACUCUGCAAUUUAUUUUAAAGCCAGAUGUUUAUGCACGUCAUCAGAAUGGAAAGAGAUUUUAAAAGGUGUAUUUUAUUGUGUAUAAGGUCCUAGUAUCAGGCUGAAAAGCGGUGUAACGGUACAACAUAAUUUCAAGUAAAAAAACCCAACCACUUAGUACUGAAGCAACAAUAGAUCAGGGGAAGAAUAGCUGAGAAUGGGUGUGCAAAAAUGUGCAAAAGAGUGGGAGGUAGGUCUUUUUUCACAUAACUCUGCUCUUUCAAAGUGGCAAUUUUCACAAGGCAAAUUGAACAUCAUGAAAAUUUAGCACAGCACUAAAUACAUUUAAUAGGACUAUUCAAGGUUCAUAAUGCGGUGUGCAAGCUAUAGAAUUACACAUAAGAAUUACAGUGGCAGUAUAAUUCUGAAUACCACAUAAUGGAGACAAACACCAGGGGAAGGCCCUCUCCUUUGUGCCCAGCUUGUGGUCAUCCAAAAAUUUCUUAGUUGGCUAGUGGUGGUAAGAGAAUGCUGGACUACAUGGAACUUGGUCUGAUCUGGUCAGGCCAUGCUUGAAAGUUCUGUGUAAGUGCCCACAUGAAAACAGCCACACUUUGCUGAGAGUUCUGGGAUGUCCUCUGGUCAGUCAACAAAUGGAUUUGUCCAUUUGCUCUAAUUUGCCAUCACAACCACUUAUUACUGACCAGCUUUUAAGUAGAUAUUUUGUACAACCAAGCAAUUGUGAGGUAAAAAAGGUAAAGGUACCCCUGCCCGUACGGGCCAGUCUUGACGGACUCUAGGGUUGUGCGCUCAUCUCACUCUAGAGGCCGGGAGCCAGCGCUGUCCACAGACACUUCCGGGUCACGUGGCCAAUGUGACAAGCUGCAUCUGGCGAGCCAGCGCAGCACACGGAAUGCCGUUUACCUUCCCGUUAGUAAGCGGUCCCUAUUUAUCUACUUGCUCCCGGGGGUGCCUUCGAACUGCUAGGUUGGCAGGCGCUGGGACCGAGCGACGGAAGCGCACGCCGCUGCGGGGAUUCGAACCGCCGACCUUUCGACCUUUACCCACAGCGCCACCCGGGUGAUUGUGAGGUAUUUUAAAUCAAAUCCGGGGGCCAUUGGCCUGCCACUGGAGUCCCACUUGUUUGCUAAACUAUAUCUACAAUGGAUGAUCUCUUAUUGAAAUAAAAGUAACUGCCCCAUGAUAAUAAAUUAGUAAAAUGUUACAAAUUCUUAUUGAUUAAAGCUCAGUCAUUAAACAGAUUACUGAAAAAUCAUAAUGACUUGAAACCCUUAAAUUACAUGCAGUUCUGAUACCUUAACAAAACCUAAACAAAAUUGAAAUUAGUGCUAGUGCUGUCUGUUUAGAUUAUAAAUAGGUUUCUUGGCAAGCAUGCAUCUAAUAAACAUAAUAUAUGAUGUGUAGGGGGAAAGGAGUAUGAAAUGAAACAGAUGUUCAUCUUCAAACAAAUACAUUCAAUAUCACAUUUGAAGCAAGCAUUCAUCAUUCCUUCACCGAGAAGAAUCCCACUGCGGUUAACCACAUCUUUAAGAACAUAACAGUGAUAUCUACUUACAAGGCAGCUACAUUCAUAAUGGAAAGGAGUAAAAGAUGGAAACAGCUGCAGCUGAGGUUUAGUGGACUUCCACAGAUUGAAAAAGGAAAUCAUGACUCUACUUAGACAGGUUUUAUUUGGCUAUAAUCAGGUUUGGCUGUUCUGCUCCCCAGGGAAUACAGUAAUUAUGGCUCACUAGACUGAAGAUAAUUACUGCAUUCCAAGGGGAUUGGCACCUGCUCUCCUCUUUCAUGCUGAGUUUAAGAAAAGAAGAAUUUACUGCUGGAUCCAGGACUGGAUGGAUCCAUAACCUGUCCUGAUUGUGUUCUGUGUACAUAGUUAAAUACCAGUGGUCAGGGAUCUGUAUGAAUGAAACCACUCCUCAGUAUGAGCAACUCUUCAUUUAUUUAUUUAUCGACCUAUCAACUUUUUAUCCUGUCAUUCUUCCAAGGUGCUGCGUAUAGUGUCAGCUCCCCAUUUUAUCUGCUCAACAACCUGGUCGUGAGCGCGAUCAGGGCACAUACAUUCAGUGAACCUUUUUAAUCUACAUACAUUUUCCAUACAUUCCUGCCUGUUCUCUGAGAUCUGCUGGAGGAACAGUGCUAACUCAUGGCAUCACUUGGGCAGCUGCAGGAAAUGGGGCAUGUAGCACAACAAGGAUCUAUAUGGUGGAAAUUCAUUGACUUAGUCAGGUGUUUUCUGUGUUUAGUUUUAGACUACUUGAAAGGAGGGAGACCUUUCUAGGCCAAGAGACUCAGCUGCAGAAGACAAGGGCAAGGACACUUAGAUCCGUACCCUACUGUAGCGACUACUGUAUCAUUUAUUCAUUUUUAUCUUUUAAAUAUAUCGUAAGCUGCUUUGAUAACUUCAGUUAUUUGCAGAGCAUAAAAGCUCCUAAAUAAAUAGUAUUUAUUUAUUUAUUUAUGCAAGGAGAAGGGGACAACAGAGGAUGAGAUGGUUGGACAGUGUUCUCGAAGCAACCAGCAUGAGUUUGACCAAACUGCGGGAGGCAGUGGAAGACGGGAGUGCCUGGUGUGCUCUGGUCCAGGGGAUCACGAAGAGUCGGACACGACUAAACGACUAAACAACAACAACUUUGCCAUAUGUCCCAGUUUUGUGUUCUUCUUCACUUUGCCUUUUAUGCUUUUUUACUUUUGAUUUCAUCAUUUUCACGAUGUUUUUAUGUACACUGCUUUGAGAAGAUAUUUUUCUUGAUUUCCUAAUAUAGAACUGUUUGUAUAAAUAAAGUAAUAAAAUAAAUUCAUAACAAGGCCUUCAUUUCCUUGUUUCAGUACUUUGUGAAGUGCAUGCAACUAAACCAAAACACAACAAAUACUGAAUUGUAUAAUGACAUUUUCUGUUGGCUUGAGCACAAUAGUUAAGGACAACAGCCAGUCUUUCAGCAGUAACUAGCAGCUGUUAUUAUGAAUAAUAGUUUUAAAGAAACAGCUUCACCUUCAUAAUUAUGCUUAGGUCUGAAGAAGAACCUGAUAAUAAGUUGUUAUUUUUAUGCAUUACUGGAGAUGCCCAAAUCAAUGCCAAAGAAAUAAACAAUGAAGGAAGGAGGCAAUGAAAAACCUAGACUGAAGAUUUAACUUCAGAAUAAAUAUGAAAUCUGAAAACAAUGGUGACCUUAAAACCCAAUUGCAUUUAGGCAGCUGGAAAGGACACAUUUAUUUAUUUAUUUAUUUAGCAUGGAAGGGUAUGGUUCAUCAGUGAAUAUUUUAGGAUUGUCAAGGGAGCUAACAAAGCUGCAACAGACGGUAAGUAACUCUGCUGGGCAGAAAGAGGUACUAAAAGUUGAUUAUUAGUGUUCUGUACCGAACGUCAGCUUGUGUACCACAGAAUAGUAAUACUGCAGGGCCAGCAUAAGUGGGUUCCAUCUUACCCACCCAGCUAUCCUAAUCCUUAAACUACCCUUCCCAGCAGGCAGCCAUUCCUGCUUUUAUUGUAAAUUUUACUUACUGGGUGGUGAAGUGGGAGAAGUAGUGGGAGCCAGUGAUGAGAAACAAAGGAAGAAUCUUCUUGUGGCCAUGCAAGGCAGCGAAAGCAUUUCUUUCAAGGGAACGCCAACAAACUUAUCCUGUGUUAAACAAUUACAACUUUUCAUGGAUUUAACAAAUUAGAAGCCAGCACUUCAAAAGCCUUCAGAACCUCUAAUGAUCUUUAUGGAAUCUGCCUUUCGAUUGUCCCAACUUCUUCCCUUACAAUCCUACAGAAUGAGGAUCACUUUACAAAGACCUCAGUGUGGUUGAUUUUCCACCAUGACUGUUCCCAAGCCAUUCCUGACAUGUGCUGAUUCUUUUGGGAAGUGAUGCAUCUCUCUAAGUGAUAGGAGGCGUUAGUAGUAGAUGGCUGGAAGUAGUCAUGUUAAAAUGAAACUAAAACAACAGUAAGGCAAAUUGAAGGAAGGAAGGAAGGAAGGAAGGAAGGAAGGAAACCAAUAGACCACCACCUUAUAAAGGAGCAAUAUAAAAACAGUGAUUGGAAAUAAGAAUAAAAAUGCAACACAUUAGCAAAAGCAAUCUCCAAAGGAAAUAAGUCUGGGGCCAAAAUGAUAUAUCAAAGCAAGACCUAAGUGUAUGAGCAGGCUCAUGAGGAGACAAGUAAUCCUUCCGAUGUCCUGGUCUCAGGCCAUGACAGGUUUAGAUUGAAAAUGGCUUGGAGCCACUUGCAGUUGACAAAAUACAGGCAAAAUGCCCAGUCCCGUAUAAUAGCAUUUCAGUUAUACUUGGGACUAACUGCACUUUCUUCAAACAAAACCCACAUAUAGCAAAUUUCAGUAGUCUAAUCCGGAGGUUCCCAUGGUAUGGAUCAUUGCUGGCAGAUUAUCUCUGUCCAGGUUGAACUACAGCUGGUGCAUAAGCCGAAGCCGUCCUCCAGUCUGCGUCUCCAAUGACCAAGUUAGAUCAGUAAGCACCCCUGGACCGGAGGGUUGCAAACCCAUUCAGCACCAGGUUGAGUACCAUCAUCAUUAUUUUUAUUAUUAUUAUUAAUAAUAAUAAUAAUAAUAAUAAUUUAUUAUUUGUACCCUGCCCAUCUGGCUGGGUUUCCCCAGCCACUCUGGGCAGCUUCCAUAGAAACCAAAAAUACACUAAAAUCACACAUUAAAAACUUCCCGGAACAGGGCUGCCUUAAGAUGUCUUCUGAAUGUCAGGUAGUUGUUUAUCGCUUUGACAUCUAAUGGGAGGGCGUUCCACAGGGCAGGUGCCACUACGAGAAGGCCCUCUGCCUGGUUCCUUGUAGCUUUGCUUCUCGCAAUAAGGGAACCACCAGAAGGCCCUCGGCACUGGACCUCAGUGUCCGGGCAGAACGAUGAGGGUGGAGACGCUCCUUCAGGUAUACUGGGCCGAGGCCGUUUAGGGCUUUAAAGGUCAACACCAGCACUUUGAAUUGUGCUUGGAAACGUACUGGGAGCCAAUGUAGGUCUUUCAAGACUGGUGUUAUGUGGUCUCAGCAGCCGCCCCCAGUCACCAGUCUAGCUGCCGCAUUCUGGAUUAGUUGUAGUUUCCGAGUCACCUUCAAAGGUAGCCCUACGUAGAGCGCAUUGCAGUAGUCCAAGCGGGAGAUAACUAGAGCAUGCACCACUCUGGCGAGACCACUCUGGCAGGUAGGGUCUCAGCCUGCGUACCAGGUGGAGUUGGUAGACAGCUGCCCUGGAUACAGAAUUGACCUGAGCCUCCAUGGACAGCUGUGAGUCCAAAAUGACUCCCAGGCUGCGCACCUGGUCCUUCAGGGGCACAGUAACCCCAUUCAGGACCAGAAAUUAAAAGAAUUUCUACCACCAUUCGUUUCCAAAAGGAAAUAUCAAGGCAGUUCCCAGACAAAUAAAAGUCAAGAGCAAAAUAACACGAAUAACGGCAGUUAUAAAUAUUCAACUAUUCAUAACAAAAAUACAUAGCAAAGGAACUACAUUAAAGCAACACCACCACCCCAAGUCCAUUAACCUAGCCAGUCAUGGUGCCUAUUGUGGGUUGCUCCUGAAAAUGGCAACCAUGUGCCAAAACUUCCUUUCUCAGUAAUAGGCAUCUCCUGCAAAUUCAUUUCUUGUCGCAAACUUUUCAUCGGCAUAAUGUAAUCAUGGGGGAGAAGCCACGCAGAUGUCUCUGGUACAAUUUCUGGCACCUCCAGUUUAAAAGGCCAGGUAGCAGGUGAUGGGAAAGACUUCUGCCUGUGAGACCUUGCAGAGUCGCUAUUAUAUAGGUUGACAAUGUACAGGGUAGACAAUAUUGGGUAAAUAACAUGACCUGGUAUAAGGCAGCUUCCUAUAUUCCAGGUUGAGGGCUGUGCCUAAUGCCACAUUCUAUGCUUAGCAGCAUUUGUGCAGACUUGUGGCUCACAAAACCCUGACUAUUGUUCCUACCAACGAAUAACAUUAAGCUGUCAUGGGAAAAGAGAAAGGGCAAUAUAAUUAUGGGUGCAUUGUUGACUUGUCUUUCAACCUCCCUCCACAGCAGGACAACAGCAUUUAUUCAUUGUUGUGCUGAAUGAAAUAGCAAGAGCAGUAAUGCUGUACCAGACUUUUAUUAUAUCAGAUCUGCAGCGUGAGGAUUGUUUGACCUGUACAAUAACAAUGAUGUACAAACCUCCUCGCAGAAUCUAUUGUUCCAAUUUCUAGCCCUUGAUGGGUAAUGGAUUUUGCUGGUUUUCUCUUUGACAUCUUGCAUCACAAAAACAAAGGAGAACUUAGCUCAUUAAAAUCAAGAGUCCUCCAUUCAGAAGGAAUGGCAAAUUACUAUAGUUUGGAGCUUUUUAUGUUCAGAGGAGUUCCUCCUGAAGUUUAUCAGAGUUUUCUAUUACUCAGAAGUUAAGUGCCAAUUGGCCACAGAUGCUUAAAAAGCAGUGUAAAUCCAGAUAUGUCAGUAUCAAUUACUCGAUCUUGAGCUCAGCUAACGACAUUAGCAUAUAAAUUUGUUAAUUGGGAUUUUUCAGUAUGUUCGGGUGUUUUGUGCCACUCUAAAAGUGCACAGCUGAUAAACGUCGGAUCCAAACAGUCUGUUGCCUCUGCAAGAAACAAUGCCUACAAUCUGAAUCUUCGUGAAAGGAUGUGGCUGUGUUCAAUUCUCCACGCAACGUGGGAUGUCAGGGUUAGGACCCCUUGUCCAAAACUCAACCAGUUUUAGAAGUAAUUAUGGAAGUGAGAGCUGGACUAUAAAGCAGGCUGAUCACCGAAGAAUUGAUGCUUUUGAAUUAUGGUGCUGGAGGAGACUCUUGAGAGUUCCAUGGACUGCAAGAAGAUCAACCCUAUCCAUUCUGAAGGAAAUCAGCCCUGAGUGCUCACUGGAAGGACAGAUCCUGAAGCUGAGGCUCCAAUACUUUGGCCACCUCAUGAGAAGAGAAGAUUCCCUGGAAAAGACCCUGAUGUUGGGAAAGAUUGAGGGCACAAGGAGAAGGGGACAACAGAAGACGAGAUGGUUGGACAGUGUUCUCAAAGCUACUAACAUGAGUUUGACCAAACUGCUGGAGGCAGUGGAAGACAGGAGUGCCUGGCGUGCGCUGGUCCAUGGGGUCACGCAGAGUCGGACAUGACUAAACAACAACAAACAACAACAUGGAAAUUUACAAUAUCUGUAAUUGUAAAUGUUUUAAAUCCAGGAGGGAUGAGUUUGGUUUGAAUAUUUUUAGCCUAGGAGUGGGUAGAAAUUAUGUCUAAAAGCACUGGUGUGAAUCAACAGAUUCCAAAUAAAUUUUGCUAGCCUAAUCUACUUAAUAUCCCUCAGUUGUCUACAAAACAAGAGCUACCAAAUUUACUUUGAAUUACAUUGUAGGCAAGGUUAUGUCACAUUCCCUUGUAGGAACAAUAAACUGGGCUGUCUUGGUUUCAAGUGGUGUCAAGCUUUUAGUCUAUAAUUAAUCUUCUUUUGAUUACUGCUUGGUAUGGUAGUAUAUUCUAUUAAAUAAAUUUUGAGUGUGGGUGUUGAUGUAUAUAUUAUAUAUUGCCUGUAUUAUUGUAUUGGAAAUCACACUCAGACUACAGUGUAAUGAAGGGCAGUUUCUAAGUCUGGGAAAUAAAUAAAGGAGGAAAAAAGCCACACUCCUCAUAGGUAGGUAGAGAUGGAAAGGAAAAGAAAAGCAUAUAUUGCCAGCAUCAUUGCUUCCAUACUUCUAAACAUGUUUUUGUACUAGAGCAUAAUGAGAAUGUUCAGAUUCCCAGGAACUUAAAUCAUUUUCACAAAUGUACAGGAAAGAAAGUAAAUGUUAUCAUUAGAGGAACUCCAUAGGAAGGUCCACUCCAGCUUCUGAUUGGAUUCCAUAGGUCUAUAUAUCUAGUAAUGAACUUCUCACUCAAAAGGUUUCAUGCUGUGGAAUCGUUGAAAGCAACACAAACGUUUUCUUUAAUGAGGACAUGUUAACAAAGAGCCUGCAAGGAUGAUUCACUAAUCACCAAGGAUACUUCUGUAUCUACACACAAGGAAAAGGAACUGAAGAUUGAAUUAGAGGUGACUCAUGUUUUACAUGCCAAGAAUAUGUGUCACAUAUAUACCACAACAUAAAGUGUAACACAAGGAUGUGCGUUUCUUUUUUAAAUAGCUCAUAAUAAAACUUUUUUGAAAGUACACAUUAAAAAUAGAACAGAUUCAAAGGAUGAGUUAUUAACACAACAGGCUUAAGACAGUUCAAUAGCUAUAAAUACUAAUAAUUUUCUUUCUCCUUUAUAUUUCUUUUGCAGAGUUUUCUUUACAGUUUUUCUUUACAGGGUUUUGAGAUGAAGAGAUAAUUCAAAAGUGUAUAUUGGGGUGGAGGAGCAGGCCUAAUCCUUUCUUGUUAUUGGCAUCUGUCUGUCUUGAGGGGCAAUGGAUGAGUGCACUAUGGGAAAACAAAACUCUGAGGCAGUGUGUAUGGAGGUCCUGGGCUGCCCAGAUGAUAAGAUUCCUUUCGUGGCUUCACUGAUGUAGUCUAAAGGAAAGGAAAGCAGUACGUUUGGCACCAGCUAGGCUGCAGGAGUUGCCGAAAUGAGCCAUCCCACUGUCUUAGGGACUCCACUCCGGAUUUGUAUUGGGUUUACUCCUUAGGCUUUUCUUUUCCUGAAGAUACUGCACAAGGCAGUGGAUAGAUAUUAUUAUUCAGGGUUUACUCCUGAAGCCUAUCUCAUGAAUGAGUAUAAUCAUGAAGCAGCAGAGGUUUAGGAUCAGAGUUUUCCUUCUCCUAGAUGGGCUCCCUUCCCAUGCUGAUGAGCGCUCCUUCUGCCACUCACUUCCCUCUACAGCAUGUGCAGAAACCACCGUCUUGAUGGUUGAACCUACUAUUGGUCUUGCCCACUUAAUCCACUGGAACAUGUCUUUGCAUGCAGGGGAAAUCUCUAACUCAGCAAGGGUUUGAGACCUAUAUUCUACCCUUACCUGGUUUAGCUGGCCCAGCAAAGCCGUUUCCCGGGGUUUUGGUGCUGUCGCAUGCUGAUAGCUUCCAGGAGCCACAGGUGAGAGCUGAGUGCAAAGUGGUGGAAGAAUUACCCCAGAAGGAGCACAAUGUUUCUCCUCACCAGAGGUACUGCACCUCCUCUAAAAUCUCAUUCACCUUUAUACCUUAUUAAUCAACACACAAUUCCCAUGUUUUGUCAAAUAAGUCCUUUAUCUUUUGUCCCCUCGUCACCCUUAGUUUUUGUGUUAAUUUCUCUAAAAGAGCACAUUGCUAAAGGUUUUGGCACCACUGGUCAAUAUUUACUGUAUAUUCUGAAGUAUUUUCCCAUUCUGAGCUAUUACUACUGCUCGUGCUGCCCAGAGAAAAUGACUCAACAGCUCUUUAUGACCAAGAAUCUAGAAACAUAUUUAGCAACACAAAUGUCAGAAAUAGAUGUAUCCGUUGAUCAGUAACCUCACUGAUCUCCUGCCAUGACAACUUCCAAACCCCUUGUAACAGAGGGAAAUUCCACCAUGUGUGGAGGCAUGUGCUGACCAUAUCACAACCUCUUCAACAUAUAGGGAAAAUAUAAGGGUUGGUUAGAACUGUUAGGAUAUUUCCGUUCCACCUUAAAAGGGAGCAGGCUUUGUGAGUCACAGAGUCUGCACAUUUCCUGUUCACAGGAUGUUUAUGUUUCCUAUUGCUUUCGUUUCUCUCUCUGUGUCGUGGACACUGAAGCAGGCAGUCAUGUUUUUCUUUGUUCUGAUCAACGCUGAAUAAAACUUGUAAAUAAUGCUCUCCUGAGUGUGACUUCUGCUGUGCAUUAUCUGCUGAUAGAGAGUGUGCAUCGGCUCUAGAUGUUGGGCUAUUUCUGGAGCUCAUGUCACUAAUUGCUGAUACUGCAUGCCUACGGGAGAUCAAUGGAUCGUCCGGCAGCCGGCUUGGGGGCCAUGAUGGACUUUGUCUCCCUGGCAGUAUCCCAACAACAGGUUAUGGGCCCAGAUUCACAGCACUUACAGGAGAGUAAGGCUGCGACAGACUGCGUUGAGGUAUGUGGGAAAAGCGAAAAUAAGGCUUUUCUGUUUGCCGCAGCAAGAGCUUUUGAUGUCCGGCUGGCCUAAUUGGCCUGGGAGCCGAGCCAAGCAGGCUUCGUGAUUAAUGAGAGCCAAGAUAAGGAGUCUCUGAAGUGAAAAAGACUCACGGCUCAAGUAAAAGGCUGAGAUGGAUCUUUUACAAUCCUCAGAAGCUGCUCCGUCUCCACCAAAGCUAAAUGGCCACAACUAUCAGACCUGGGCAAGGUACUGUGAGGGCCAGAUGUGAAAGCUUGGAGUGUGGAAUACCGUUUCUGAGAACGCCCCAGCCCCUGUGACAGAUGAUUGGAGGGCACAGGACUCAAGAGCCAUGGGGAUAAUAUUGCUCUCAGUAGCUCCUGAAGAGUUAAUCACCCUGGCUGGCAAGGCCAGUGUCCGUGAGAUGUGGGACGGGCUUAGAGCCUGUCAUCUCCGACAAGAGGCUGGGUCUGUGUUGCUUUAUUUCAGAAAGCUGCACAGGAAGUGUUUGGAGCCAGGGGAAGACCUUAGAGCCCACGUUUUACAUUUGCAGCAUCUCAGACAGGAAUUGACUCAGAGAGGUUUCAAUAUGCCUGAGUCACUGUUUGCAAUUCUCAUCCUGGGCUCCCUGGAUGAAAGCUACCAUGCCGUGGCAAGUCAGCUGGCGACCCUCCCUGCGCAAGACCUCACUGCUACAAAGGUCUUGGCGACUUUGCAAAAUGAGUAUGAUAGAAGGAAUGCAGCUGAGUCGGCUUGUGCGCUCCAGGGGGAGCAAUGUGGGACAGCAUUCCAGCCUCCAGGGGGAGCCAAAGCGUUGGCAGCUGUGAAGUGCUGGAACUGUGGGACCCAAGGUCACACUCAGAAGUUUUGUCCAAAGACUGGAAAUAAACAAAGGAAGAAGCCAGCAGAUGGCCAGAAGCAGAAGGGGGGUGGAAAGCCCAAGCCAGGGAAAAACAAGGCUUUGUUUGCUGGCACAGCUUCACCAAAGGCUAAAGGCAAGUCUGAUGGCCAGGAGCAGGGGAGCAAGCUGCAAAAGCCCACGCCGGUGGAAAACAAGGUUUUGCUUGCUGCAAAGGCUGCUCCAAAGGCCAAGGCCAGGCUUAUUAUUGAUUCGGGGUGUACCCGCCAUGUAUCGAAAGACCGCCAUUUCUUCAUCUCCUUCAAACCUCAAGAAGGUGAGAUCCACCUGGCUGAUGGAAAGACGUUGUGAAUCGCAGGAGAAGGGACUGUGAAACUGGCAAGUCUGCACACUACCAUCAAAGAUGUACUUUAUGUUCCAGGCGCUGCAGACAACUUGCUCAGUGUCCCACAGCUUACUGGGCGUGGUUUUGAGAUUUCCUUCAAGAGGAGCGUCUGUGUCAUCAGGAAAGGCAAAGAGGACAUUUUGCAUGCAAAGUUUAUGGAUGGAUUGUUCUGUAUAACUUAUGAUGACAAUGGUGCUGUUGUGUCUAAUGUUGAUUCUUGUUGUGUUGCAGGAUGCAUUCAUGAUGCACACAGAAGGUUUUGUCACCUCUCUUGGAAGGCACUGGCCAAGAUGCCAGAGAUGGUUGAGGGUUUGAACAUCAAACCCUGUAAGUUUCACAUGAAAUGUGUAUCUUGUGCAGAGAACAAGGUGAAGGUUGCUCCAAAGGCAAGGAGUCUAGCAGGCAGGCUUCCAAACCCUACCAGCUAGUGCACGCAGACCUGGUUGGUCCACUUGCGCCCUCUUUGGGUGGAGCAAGGUACUUCAUGGUUCUAAUUGACUCUUUUUCCAGGUACAUUCAUGUGUUUAUGCUCGAGCAGAAAUCGCAAGCGUUUCCGAGUUCAAGGCAUUCUGUGCUUGGUUGGAGAAUGUUCACGGUAAACGUAUUGGCUGUCUCUUUACUGAUCGGGGCGGGGAGUUCACUUCUCAGCAGUUUGAAGCUUUCCUGACUGAGAAGGGAAUCCAGCAUGACUUGUCAACGCCUAGAUCGCCAUGGAUGAAUGGACUUGCGGAGCGAGCAAAUCAAACGUUGCUGCAAGGACUGAAAACCUUGUUGCAUGAUGCCAAUCUCCCUGAGAAGUUUUGGGGGGAGUCUUUGAACUCGUUUGUUUACACUUAUAAUCGCAGAUUGUCAUCACCUAUUGGUUGUACUCCCUAUGAGAAGAUGUUUGGUAAGAAACCCAACAUCAAGCACAUGAGAAUCUUUGGUUCUGACAUGUGGGUACACACCCCACAAAGCAACAAGCUUGGGAAGCGUGGGGCACAUGGUUUGUUCAUGGGGUACGAAAAAGGUGCAUACAGGGUAUGGAUGACUGACUCUAAGUCCAUUAAGUUCACAAAGAGUGUUGAGUACAAUCCUAAGUGGGGGGAACAUGUGGGAAUUUUCCAGAGUUACCCAGAGGAUGAUGAAGGUGAUGUGAAAAAAGCAGAUAAUGCUGAGGAAGCUGAGGAUGAUGAUGAUGAUCAGAGUUCGGAUUCCAGUUCAGUGGGCGGCGCUGCUGCUGGUGUCAGCGACAGUGAUGACACAGCAGACUACAAGAGCGCAAAGGCCUCAGUCAGACCAUCUGAUGUGUCUGACAAUGAACUGGAAGAACCACUGUUCACCAUUGGUCACUUUUCUCCUAAGAAGGAGGAGAUGAGUCCAGAAGACUUGCGUCUAGUACGCAGAUCUGAAAGGGCAACCAAGGGCAGACCUCCAAAGAGAUUUGCUGAUGAGUUUGCUAAGACAGCAACUGCUGUUCUUAGUAGCUCAGAGAAGGUGUGGGAACCUUCAAGCUUCAAAGAGGUUCCGGAGUUAACCUCUAAAGAUGCUGAGCCUUGGCUUAAUGCCAUGAAGGCUGAAGUUGAUUCCUUGAAUAGGAACCAAACUUGGGAGUUGGUACCGGUAGUCCCAGGAAUGAGACUGGUUGGCAGCAAAUGGGUCUUCAAGGCCAAGACAGACCAGAAUGGCAAGGUUGUCAGACACAAAGCCAGAUUGGUUGCCAGAGGUUUUUCACAGGUACCAGGACAGGAUUACCACGAGACCUACUCACCCACCGUCAAAUAUGAGAGCAUUCGGCUGAUGCUCAAGAUAGCUGCAGAGGAGAAACUGCAUGUUUCCCAUCAUGACAUUAAUACAGCUUUUUUGUACGGGAUUUUGGACGAGGAGCUGUUUAUGCUUCCACCUGAUGGGAUGCAGAUACAGAAGGGGAUGGUCUGUAAACUGCGGAAAUCCUUAUAUGGUCUCAAGCAGAGUGCCAGGUGUUGAAACACAAAGCUCACUGAGACAUUGCUUUCUCUAGGUUUUCACCAGGGCAAAGCUGAUCCGUGUGUGUUUGUCAAGGAGGAGGGGCAAAACAAACUGUAUUGUUUAUGUUUUGUUGAUGAUCUUCUGAUGUUUUGGAAGAAUCAGGCUUUGUACCAAAGCACCCUAGCUCAGCUGAAGGAGCACUUUGACAUGAAGGAUCUUGGUGAGGUAUCCAACUAUCUUUCUCUGCAGGUGGAGAGGGACCAAGCAGGUAAUUUUCUGGUACACCAAACACAGAAAAUUGCUGAUGUAUUAACCAGGUUGAAUUUGGUUGAUGCAAACCCAGCAGACACACCGAUGGUGACAGGUUACCAGGUAGAUAGUACUGCUGAAGCGUUUUAUGACACAACGCUGUACAGAUGCAUUCUAGGCAAGUUGAAUUUCAUUGCUAGAUGCUCAAGACCUGACAUAGCUGUAAGCUGUAACCUGCUUAGCAGACAUGCCAACAAUCCUACUGUUCAGGAUUGGAAAGCUCUGAAGUGCAUAGCCCGCUAUUUAAAAGGGACUUUGCACUACAGGCUGAGGUUCACCAGUCAGAAGACUGGAGGUCUUGAAAUCUUUGCAGAUGCAAGUUUUGGAAGUGACACCACGGAUGGUACAAGCACUUCUGGAGUAUGCUACAUGUACAACCACUGUCUGUUUGACUGGCUGUGCAAGAAGCAGACGACAGUGAGCCUAAGUUCCUGUGAAGCAUUUUCACUCAUGGAUUGUGAAUGGUUGAUGCAACUGUUUAAGGACAUCAGAGUUUCUGUGAAAUGUCCUGUACAAGUGUAUCAAGACAAUAGAUCGUGUUUGGCUUUGCUGAACUCAGAGAGUUGCAAGCAAAGAACCAAGUAUUUGCAGAUUAAGCUACAUCGUGCAAGAGAGUGUAUUCAGAAAGGACUCAUUCAGGUGUCCUACAUGCCAGGAAAUGAAAUUCCUGCUGAUCUGUUGUCUAAGGUUGUUAACAGAAAACAACUUAAGGUUUACGUACAAAGGUUGCAAUUGGGUUGAACCACAGGUACUACAGGUUACACGGAAAGGGGGAGGAUGUUAGGAUAUUUCCGUUCCACCUUAAAAGGGAGC
Non-coding RNA from Podarcis lilfordi (Lilford's wall lizard), 40732 nucleotides. Lineage: Eukaryota; Metazoa; Chordata; Lepidosauria; Squamata; Lacertidae. The record is from the annotation of a GenBank genome assembly.